GCGACGCGGAUUAAUUGCACCCAUCCCGUAAUAUCGGGAACGGAACUCGAGCGCCAUAAGUUUGAGGAAUUCACGAGAAUCGGCGUUACCUCGUUAUCUUUAUGCUGUUCUGGUUUUGUCGGAAUUCAUCCCACUUAGACUACUUGACGUUUUUGUCCGAUCGGCCGAGCUUUUUCACCCCGUCACGGUCUAACAGACCGCUGCUACCAGCCCCGCCUUUACCCCCGAUAAGUUCACCGACCCACGUGUUCGCGUGUGUCGCCUAUAAAAGCUCACUUAGCAUCAACAUGUACGGCAAUGUUCCUCCGUGAUGGCUGAUGGAAAGUCGCUGCUCGGAAUCUCGGUGGCCUCCGUCAUCUACGAGAGGACAUUUCACGAUCAUCGACCUAACUAGGGGAUAGAAGGGUCGAGAAACACCACAGGCGGCAUCGAUGGAUUCUUCGAUUAAAAUUUCAUCAACAUCAUCAUCUUCGGGUUUCUCAGUCUACAAAAUUGGUAUUGGUUUCUACAGUGGCCGUUAUGAGCGUGCACCAUGAAACCACGACGCCAUGGAUGGCGCCACACGGUGGCCAUCAACUUUCAGGACAUUCAGUACACCAUCGAGGGCGUAAAAGCAGCAGCGCGUCGAAGGAUCCAUCGAUCGGCCUUCCUCGAUCUCCGGCAACUUACGAGACACUAACGACCCAGCCACAACCAUAUCUACCUCGUUAUCGGCCACACCUUUCGUCGUUCUUGUCCGUAACGACGCUGGGCUUCGCGAAAACAAUUCGACCUUCUUGCUUUAUGCCAGAGCGAGGUCGAUCCGCUGGAAUGUCCACGGUAGUCAACCAUCUGUCCAACUUAUAAUUCCUGUUCGAGACAGCUUAACUGAUUUACCGCAAUUUGCCGCGUUCGUUGAUGAAAUACAGGCCAGGAUGUCUCACGGGCGGAUGGGGAGGGUGGAGUUACGUGUUGAUGCUUCCUCUAGUAGAUUUCUUUGUCUUUGUAACUUGUACAUUGUGUAUAUAGCGUGGGGUGCUAAUCUUCGUCGUAUGAAAUGUAAAAACAAUUGAGGAUCUUGUGGUUCACUGUUGUAUUAUAUAUUUUUUUAUUGAAACUGUUUAAAAAUAAAAGUAUACUUAUGAGCAAAACUAAA
This is a long non-coding RNA of Bombus huntii, 1135 nucleotides long. RefSeq lists it as uncharacterized. The transcript has 3 exons. The record is from RefSeq and is a predicted model, not a curated record. Lineage: Eukaryota; Metazoa; Arthropoda; Insecta; Hymenoptera; Apidae.